AGUAAAUGGCAUCGUGUGAACGACAUGGCGAUAAAAAGUUGGACUACAAAGGAUAAAGGGAGUCCUCAUGCUGGACUUGCAUGCCGCAGAUACAUAGACUUGUAUAUAGACCACUGUAUAUACGGGAAGAAGCAGUUUAAUUUCAACCAGCCGAGUCUCUCGCACUUGCAGAGUGGACACAGCAAACAAAUGGAGGAAUGAAAGAAUGAGUUGAGAAAAAAUAAAUAUUAAAAGUGAGUGAAGUGCCUUGGAGGGCCUACGCAGUUUUCAACUCGUACUCUGGGGGAUACACCAAUGAUGGAGAAUUUUGCUACGAGCACCGGAGUCAUCACGUGGUGCUGUGUCUAGGCGCUUCCUCUUCAGUCGAGGACUUUCCGAGUGGAUCCACCACUCAUCAUUGCACAAUCAGACGUCUUUCGUGGACUUGUGAGGACCACCAGUCCAGUCAUUAAUCGUCAAGAACGUUCGUUAGUUUUCUGGAAUUUUUUAUGCACUUUUGGUAUUUAUUGUGUCUCGUUAUGUUAAUUUAAUUGGAAGGUUAAAUUAAAAGUCAUUCUAAGAAAUCAGGAAAUUACUGGCAUACA
Fopius arisanus is the source of this 584-nucleotide long non-coding RNA. RefSeq lists it as uncharacterized. The transcript is spliced from 3 exons. The record is from RefSeq and is a predicted model, not a curated record. NCBI's taxonomy places the organism in Eukaryota, Metazoa, Arthropoda, Insecta, Hymenoptera, Braconidae.